CCAGCACGUAAUGGUGGGAACUCUAAGGAGACUUCCGGUGCCAAACCGGAGGAAGGUGGGGAGGACGUCAAGUCAUCAUGGCCCUUAUGACCAGGGGUACACACGUGCUACAAUGGAGCGUACAGAGGGUUCUAAGCCGCGAGGUGGAGCCAAUCCCAGAAAACGUUUCGUAGUCCGGAUCGAAGUCUGCAACUAGAUUUCGUGAAGUCGGAAUCGCUAGUAAUCGCG
Molecule: ribosomal RNA, 228 nt
Filed under: uncultured Antarctic bacterium
Lineage: Bacteria
Description: partial 16S ribosomal RNA
Rfam family: Bacterial small subunit ribosomal RNA
Source: RNAcentral